Molecule: ribosomal RNA, 506 nt
Filed under: uncultured bacterium
Lineage: Bacteria
Description: bacterial SSU rRNA
Rfam family: Bacterial small subunit ribosomal RNA
Source: RNAcentral
CUGGGCUUGACAUGUUCCUGACAGCCGUGGAAACACGGUCUCCCUUCGGGGCAGGAUCACAGGUGGUGCAUGGCUGUCGUCAGCUCGUGUCGUGAGAUGUUGGGUUAAGUCCCGCAACGAGCGCAACCCCCGUCGCAUGUUGCCAGCAUUUAGUUGGGGACUCAUGCGAGACUGCCGGUGACAAACCGGAGGAAGGUGGGGAUGACGUCAAGUCAUCAUGCCCCUUAUGUCCAGGGCUACACACGUGCUACAUUGGCGCGUACAGAGGGUUGCGAUACCGCGAGGUGGAGCGAAUCCCUUAAAGCGCGUCUCGGUUCGGAUUGCAGGCUGAAACUCGCCUGCAUGAAGGCGGAGUUGCUAGUAAUCGCGGAUCAGCAUUGCCGCGGUGAAUACGUUCCCGGGCCUUGUACACACCGCCCGUCACACCAUGGGAGUGAGUAACACCCGAAGCCGGUGGCCUAACCUUUUGGAGGGAGCCGUCGAAGGUGGGACUCGUGACUGGGGUG